AGACAUUCUCGUAUGCUUGAUAAUGGGAGCUUAAAUGCCAUCAAAUUCAAACUUGCUAAACAUGAGCUGCUAUAAUUUUGAAUCCCAUCAAUAAACAUAGAAGAAAAUGAAGUGAAAGAAUAAACUCAAAGAUAGUGGCUGCAGAACUGUGCCUGCAAUGACGCAAUAUUGCUGGGUUCAAAAGGUGGUGCAUCUGAUACAGUUCUUGCUCG
Molecule: long non-coding RNA, 212 nt
Filed under: Prunus persica (peach)
Lineage: Eukaryota; Viridiplantae; Streptophyta; Magnoliopsida; Rosales; Rosaceae
Description: long non-coding RNA (PPER_LNC007472)
Source: RNAcentral